RNAcentral lists this long non-coding RNA (705 nucleotides) under Ananas comosus (pineapple). RNAcentral describes it as "long non-coding RNA (ACOM_LNC022516)". The record is from RNAcentral. Lineage: Eukaryota; Viridiplantae; Streptophyta; Magnoliopsida; Poales; Bromeliaceae.
UUUUUUUUUUUUUUUUUUUUCUGUCUUUUGUGUUCGUGAGUGAGUCCUUCGUUGAUGUUAUCAACUUUUUGGUCAUCGGAUCAAACAUUUUGGUUCCUGGAUCAUGCACAAUAGGAAGUCAUAUCAUAAGCAAUUAUUGUUAACUUCUGAUCUAACAGCCAAAAAAUUUAAUCAAAGAGCGCAAAACUUAUAAGCAUCGAAAAUAACUUGAUGCUUCUAAAAGACAGUUUGGUUGCAUAUAAUUAGAAAUACAGUAUAAUUAAAUAUGCAUAUAUCUUUGUUAGAACUAUAAGUAAUUCAUUUUGAAGGUUCAUUAUUUUAUAUAUUUGGUCGUGUAAAUAUCUUCAAUGUAAGAAAAAAAAUCUAUUUUAUAUUUAAAAAUAAAGAGGAAGGUAAGCUUAUUUUUUGCUUAAAAUUAUCAUGUCCAACAGCUGCAAUCGAGUAUAUUCAUAUAGUUCUAGCUGCAGCCAGUUGAAUUCAAAUGUAAUUUUUUCUUACUUUGGGGUUAUUUGUGGACUGGUGGUUUAGUUAGUUUUUAUAAAAAAAUGUAAUAUUGUAUAAAUUUUAACAUUCAGUUAGCAUAUAUUCCUGUGAUUCUAUCAGAAACGUAAAAGUCUAAUUAAUUCUAAUAUCUUUCUUCCAACUUCUUUCAGCCGAAAAGGAUUUGUAUAUAUUUCAAUACCAAAUGGAGUCUAUAUCCACUAA